This 234-nucleotide unclassified non-coding RNA is filed under the name uncultured fungus. Its description in RNAcentral is "partial contains 5.8S ribosomal RNA, internal transcribed spacer 2, and large subunit ribosomal RNA". Lineage: Eukaryota; Fungi. The record is from RNAcentral.
AACGCACAUUGCGCCCUCUGGUAUUCCGGGGGGCAUGCCCGUUCGAGCGUCAUUUCACCAAUCAAGCCUGGCUUGGUAUUGGACCCGGGGGCGACCCGGGUCUCGAAAUCUUCGGCCGCAGAGCUCCGAAUCGCAGCGUCGUGCAUCAAAUUCGCUGACGAGACGGGCGAGGCGCGCCGUGAAACCUUCUCACAGGUUGACCUCGGAUCGGGUAGGGAUACCCGCUGAACUUAA